Molecule: long non-coding RNA, 833 nt
Organism: Tympanuchus pallidicinctus (lesser prairie-chicken)
Lineage: Eukaryota; Metazoa; Chordata; Aves; Galliformes; Phasianidae
Exons: 4
Source: RefSeq, a predicted model, not a curated record
GUACUGGAGGCCUUCUAAGGCUAUGAGAACUCUGCUGCCCUUUCCUGUCCUGUCCACCUCCUUAAGUGAUGCAGGUAAACUCAACAGCAACUGCUGACUGGAGGAGAUGAAGUCUGAUGUGAAACCUGGACCUCACUCAAGCCAAAUAUUUGAGCACUCUGCGUCAGAGCAAACAGGCAAGUGAAGUGCAUCACUCAAGCAAUAUCCUGCAUUUAGCAAGAUCAUCACAGCAAAAGAUGAGAACUGGAACAUACUCCAAUCUACUGUGGCUGCAUGUGCAGAGAAACACAACCAUCCUACUUGGCUGAUACCAAGCCACUGAUUUCAGAAUCACAAAGCACACAGUCUACUGCUGGAAAGUCUGUAGCUUCCUGCCACUGCAUCACACCUGUUGCAAUUAGUUGCUUCAGGUGAAUGAAAUUAGGAGAGCUGGAAAGUUUCUAGAAAAUCAAUAUUCUGCUCCUGCACACUGAGCACUUUCACAUGAGCUUCGUUAACCACCUCCAAAGCAACAUGUGAGCAUAUGACGCAGUUCUGCUCCCACCUGAGAAGUCGUGCACAGAGGGGCAGAUUUUAGUUUGUUUUAUGCUUUUCCUUCCCACACCAGGUAAUUACUAAAUCUUACCUUACAUAAAUUCCAUGUGAUGGAUCGAUCAAAUGUGAUAACCUUUGUGCCCCACGAAAGCAACUCCCAAGUGGCCCUUUGCUUUGCUUUCAGCAGCUGAUUUGGAGAAUCAUCUCUCUCGUGUCAUCUUCUCAUCCGAGCAGUGAGGUAUAAAUUUCAAGAGAAACUUGCCUUCAUCAUGGGUCACUGGUGGUACACAGCUUUUUUG